RNAcentral lists this ribosomal RNA (267 nucleotides) under uncultured bacterium. Its description in RNAcentral is "partial 16S ribosomal RNA". The record is from RNAcentral.
CUGCUGCCUUCCGUAGGAGUUUGGUCCGUGUCUCAGUACCAAUGUGGGGGGUUAACCUCUCAGUCCCCCUAUGUAUCGUUGUCUUGGUGAGCCGUUACCCCACCAACUAACUAAUACAACGCAUGCCCAUCCAUUACCACCGGAGUUUUCAACCCAAGAAGAUGCCUCCCUGGAUGUUAUGGGGUAUUAGUACCGAUUUCUCAGUGUUAUCCCCCUGUAAUGGGUAGGUUGCAUACGCGUUACGCACCCGUGCGCCGGUCGCCGACA